RNAcentral lists this ribosomal RNA (502 nucleotides) under uncultured bacterium. Its description in RNAcentral is "partial 16S ribosomal RNA". It matches the Rfam family "Bacterial small subunit ribosomal RNA", at positions 30 to 523 of the family's 1533-position model. The record is from RNAcentral.
AUUGAACGCUGGCGGCAGGCUUAACACAUGCAAGUCGAGCGGAGUGAUGGUGCUUGCACUAUCACUUAGCGGCGGACGGGUGAGUAAUGCUUAGGAAUCUGCCUAUUAGUGGGGACAACAUCUCGAAAGGGAUGCUAAUACCGCAUACGUCCUACGGGAGAAAGCAGGGGAUCACUUGUGACCUUGCGCUAAUAGAUGAGCCUAAGUCGGAUUAGCUAGUUGGUGGGGUAAAGGCCUACCAAGGCGACGAUCUGUAGCGGGGCUGAGAGGAUGAUCCGCCACACUGGGACUGAGACACGGCCCAGACUCCUACGGGAGGCAGCAGUGGGGAAUAUUGGACAAUGGGGGGAACCCUGAUCCAGCCAUGCCGCGUGUGUGAAGAAGGCCUUAUGGUUGUAAAGCACUUUAAGCGAGGAGGAGGCUCUUUUGGUUAAUACCCAAGAUGAGUGGACGUUACUCGCAGAAUAAGCACCGGCUAACUCUGUGCCAGCCGCCGCCAUAA